Molecule: small RNA, 128 nt
Filed under: Vulpes vulpes (red fox)
Lineage: Eukaryota; Metazoa; Chordata; Mammalia; Carnivora; Canidae
Description: 7SK RNA (ENSVVUG00000000993.1)
Rfam family: 7SK RNA
About the family: 7SK was discovered as an abundant small nuclear RNA in the mid-70s but a possible function has only recently been suggested. Two independent studies have found that 7SK RNA binds the CDK9/cyclin T complex (known as elongation factor P-TEFb). P-TEFb activates transcription by phosphorylating the C-terminal domain of RNA polymerase II.
Source: RNAcentral
UCCUUCGACAAGCUUCCUCAAUAGAGGAGGAGCAUCCUUCAGUCAAGGGUAUAUGAGGAGCUGCGCUCCCCUCCUAGAACCUUCAAACAAGCUCUCAAGAAAUGAGCUAUCAAGCCAUGAAGAGAAAC